This 655-nucleotide ribosomal RNA is filed under the name Candidozyma haemuli. Its description in RNAcentral is "eukaryotic LSU rRNA". The stretch from base 269 to 655 matches the Rfam family "Eukaryotic large subunit ribosomal RNA", at positions 1 to 396 of the family's 3401-position model. The record is from RNAcentral. Lineage: Eukaryota; Fungi; Ascomycota; Pichiomycetes; Serinales; Metschnikowiaceae.
GUUUUGAAUUAAAAGCAACCACCGUUAAGUUCAAAAAUCUAAAACAAAACUUUCAACAACGGAUCUCUUGGUUCUCGCAUCGAUGAAGAACGCAGCGAAUUGCGAUACGUAGUAUGACUUGCAGACGUGAAUCAUCGAAUCUUUGAACGCAUAUUGCGCCUUGGGGCAUUCCCCAAGGCAUGCCUGUUUGAGCGUGAUAUCUUCUCACCGUUGGUGGAUUUGUUUCUAAAUAUCAUGCCACAGUGAAGUCUACGCUUUCACUGCUUUUUCCCCUCAAAUCAGGUAGGACUACCCGCUGAACUUAAGCAUAUCAAUAAGCGGAGGAAAAGAAACCAACAGGGAUUGCCUCAGUAACGGCGAGUGAAGCGGCAAGAGCUCAACUUUGGAAUCGCUGCGGCGAGUUGUAGUCUGGAGGUGGCCGGUCCCGGCGCCAGCGCGCAGCCAAGUCCUUUGGAACAAGGCGCCUGAGAGGGUGACAGCCCCGUGGCAGUUUGUGCUGGUGCCGCCUCGGCCCACCGACGAGUCGAGUUGUUUGGGAAUGCAGCUCUAAGUGGGUGGUAAAUUCCAUCUAAAGCUAAAUACCGGCGAGAGACCGAUAGCGAACAAGUACAGUAAUGGAAAGAUGAAAAGCACUUUGAAAAGAGAGUGAAACAGU